GACGAACGCUGGCGGCGUGCUUAACACAUGCAGGUCGAACGGAAAGGCCCUGCUUUUGUGGGGUGCUCGAGUGGCGAACGGGUGAGUAACACGUGAGUAGCCUGCCCUUUACUUUGGGAUAACUUCAGGAAACUGGGGCUAAUACCGGAUAGGAGCUCCUGCUGCAUGGUGGGGGUUGGAAAGUUUCGGCGGUUGGGGAUGGACUCGCGGCUUAUCAGCUUGUUGGUGGGGUAGUGGCUUACCAAGGCUUUGACGGGUAGCCGGCCUGAGAGGGUGACCGGCCACAUUGGGACUGAGAUACGGCCCAGACUCCUACGGGAGGCAGCAGUGGGGAAUAUUGCACAAUGGGCGGAAGCCUGAUGCAGCAACGCCGCGUGCGGGAUGACGGCCUUCGGGUUGUAAACCGCUUUCGCCUGUGACGAAGCGUGAGUGACGGUAAUGGGUAAAGAAGCACCGGCUAACUACGUG
Molecule: ribosomal RNA, 468 nt
Filed under: uncultured bacterium
Lineage: Bacteria
Description: partial 16S ribosomal RNA
Rfam family: Bacterial small subunit ribosomal RNA
Source: RNAcentral